RNAcentral lists this microRNA (23 nucleotides) under Ananas comosus (pineapple). RNAcentral's name for it is "microRNA s0435_c56a". The record is from RNAcentral. Lineage: Eukaryota; Viridiplantae; Streptophyta; Magnoliopsida; Poales; Bromeliaceae.
ACUCGACUCCUGCUUCCUUCAGA